RNAcentral lists this ribosomal RNA (415 nucleotides) under uncultured crenarchaeote. RNAcentral describes it as "partial 16S ribosomal RNA". It matches the Rfam family "Archaeal small subunit ribosomal RNA", at positions 330 to 747 of the family's 1478-position model. Lineage: Archaea; Thermoproteati; Thermoproteota. The record is from RNAcentral.
GCGCAGCAGGCGCGAAAACUCCACAAUGCGCGAAUGCGUGAUGGGGUUAGCCCGAGUGCCGUCCGCUGAGGAUGGCUUUUCCCCAGUGUAAGGAGCUGGGGGAAUAAAGGGGGGGCAAGACUGGUGUCAGCCGCCGUGGUAAUACCAGCCCCCUGAGUGGUAGGGACGAUUAUUUGGCCUAAAGCGUCCGUAGCCGGCUUGGUAAGUCUUUCGUCAAAUCCGGCGAUUCCAUCGCCGGCCCGCGGAAGAUACUGCUAGGCUUGAGGACGGGAGAGGUCGACGGUAGUCCCGGGGUAGGGGUGAAAUCCUAUAAUCCCGGGAGGACCACCAGUGGCGAAGGCGGUCGACUAGAACGUGCCUGACGGUGAUGGACGAAAGCUGGGGGAGCGAACCGGAUUAGACACCCGGGUAGUCC